GCGGGAGUGCCGGAGUGGCCAAACGGGACGGGUUUAGGCCCCGUUGACUUAGUGUCUACGCAGGUUCAAAUCCUGUCUCCCGCA
Molecule: transfer RNA, 84 nt
Filed under: Candidatus Woesearchaeota archaeon
Lineage: Archaea; Nanobdellati; Candidatus Woesearchaeota
Description: tRNA-Leu
Rfam family: tRNA
About the family: Transfer RNA (tRNA) molecules are approximately 80 nucleotides in length. Their secondary structure includes four short double-helical elements and three loops (D, anti-codon, and T loops).
Source: RNAcentral